RNAcentral lists this ribosomal RNA (237 nucleotides) under uncultured Bacillota bacterium. RNAcentral's name for it is "uncultured Firmicutes bacterium partial 16S ribosomal RNA". It matches the Rfam family "Bacterial small subunit ribosomal RNA", at positions 97 to 334 of the family's 1533-position model. Lineage: Bacteria; Bacillati; Bacillota. The record is from RNAcentral.
GGCGGACGGGUGAGUAACGCGUGGGCAACCUGCCUUACACAGGGGGAUAACAGCUAGAAAUGGCUGCUAAUACCGCAUAAGACCUCAGUACCGCAUGGUAGAGGGGUAAAAACUCCGGUGGUGUAAGAUGGGCCCGCGUCUGAUUAGGUAGUUGGUAGGGUAACGGCCUACCAAGCCGACGAUCAGUAGCCGACCUGAGAGGGUGACCGGCCACAUUGGGACUGAGACACGGCCCAA